This 590-nucleotide ribosomal RNA is filed under the name uncultured Desulfuromonadaceae bacterium. Its description in RNAcentral is "bacterial SSU rRNA". It matches the Rfam family "Bacterial small subunit ribosomal RNA", at positions 335 to 916 of the family's 1533-position model. Lineage: Bacteria; Pseudomonadati; Thermodesulfobacteriota; Desulfuromonadia; Desulfuromonadales; Desulfuromonadaceae. The record is from RNAcentral.
ACUCCUACGGGAGGCAGCAGUGGGGAAUUUUGCGCAAUGGGGGAAACCCUGACGCAGCAACGCCGCGUGGGUGAAGAAGGCCUUCGGGUCGUAAAGCCCUUUCGGACGGGACGAACGCUCCGGGGUGAACAGCCCCGGAGUCUGACGGUACCGUAGGAAGAAGCACCGGCUAACUCCGUGCCAGCAGCCGCGGUAAUACGGAGGGUGCGAGCGUUGUUCGGAAUUACUGGGCGUAAAGCGCGUGUAGGCGGCCUUGCAAGUCAGGCGUGAAAGCCCUCGGCUUAACCGGGGAAGUGCGUCUGAAACUGCUUGGCUUGAGUACGGGAGAGGGAGGCGGAAUUCCCAGUGUAGAGGUGAAAUUCGUAGAUAUUGGGAGGAACACCGGUGGCGAAAGCGGCCUCCUGGACCGAUACUGACGCUGAGACGCGAAAGCGUGGGGAGCAAACAGGAUUAGAUACCCUGGUAGUCCACGCGGUAAACGAUGGGCACUAGGUGUGGGGGGUAUCCACUCCUCCCGUGCCGAAGCUAACGCAUUAAGUGCCCCGCCUGGGGAGUACGGCCGCAAGGUUAAAACUCAAAUGAAUUGACGG